This 262-nucleotide ribosomal RNA is filed under the name uncultured bacterium. Its description in RNAcentral is "partial 16S ribosomal RNA". It matches the Rfam family "Bacterial small subunit ribosomal RNA", at positions 99 to 354 of the family's 1533-position model. The record is from RNAcentral.
CGAACGGGUGAGUAACACGUGGGGCAACCUGCCCAAAAGAGGGGGAUAACACUUGGAAACAGGUGCUAAUACCGCAUAACCAUAGUUACCGCAUGGUAGCUAUGUAAAAGGUGGCUAUGCUACCGCUUUUGGAUGGGCCCGCGGCGCAUUAGCUAGUUGGUGGGGUAAAGGCUUACCAAGGCAAUGAUGCGUAGCCGAACUGAGAGGUUGAUCGGCCACAUUGGGACUGAGACACGGCCCAAACUCCUACGGGAGGCAGCAG